This 407-nucleotide ribosomal RNA is filed under the name uncultured bacterium. Its description in RNAcentral is "bacterial SSU rRNA". It matches the Rfam family "Bacterial small subunit ribosomal RNA", at positions 355 to 774 of the family's 1533-position model. The record is from RNAcentral.
UGGGGAAUAUUGCACAAUGGGCGCAAGCCUGAUGCAGCAACGCCGCGUGAGGGACGACGGCCUUCGGGUUGUAAACCUCUUUUGGCAGGGAAGAAGCGAAAGUGACGGUACCUGCAGAAAAAGCACCGGCUAACUACGUGCCAGCAGCCGCGGUGAUACGUAGGGUGCAAGCGUUGUCCGGAUUUACUGGGCGUAAAGGGAGCGUAGGCGGACUUUUAAGUGAGAUGUGAAAUACCUGGGCUCAACCUGGGUGCUGCAUUUCAAACUGGAAGUCUAGAGUGCAGGAGAGGAGAGUGGAAUUCCUAGUGUAGCGGUGAAAUGCGUAGAGAUUAGGAAGAACACCAGUGGCGAAGGCGACUCUCUGGACUGUAACUGACGCUGAGGCUCGAAAGCGUGGGGAGCAAACA